Ciona savignyi (Pacific transparent sea squirt) is the source of this 82-nucleotide non-coding RNA. Lineage: Eukaryota; Metazoa; Chordata; Ascidiacea; Phlebobranchia; Cionidae. The record is from Rfam.
GUCGUCGUGGCCGAGUGGUUAAGGCGACAGACUAGAAAUCUGUUCGGCUCUGCCCGCACAGGUUCGAAUCCUGUCGGCGACG